Molecule: ribosomal RNA, 253 nt
Filed under: uncultured bacterium
Lineage: Bacteria
Description: partial 16S ribosomal RNA
Rfam family: Bacterial small subunit ribosomal RNA
Source: RNAcentral
UACGUAGGGUGCAAGCGUUAUCCGGAAUUAUUGGGCGUAAAGAGCUCGUAGGCGGUUUGUCGCGUCUGCUGUGAAAACUGGGGGCUCAACCCCCAGCCUGCAGUGGGUACGGGCAGACUAGAGUGCGGUAGGGGAGAUUGGAAUUCCUGGUGUAGCGGUGGAAUGCGCAGAUAUCAGGAGGAACACCGAUGGCGAAGGCAGAUCUCUGGGCCGUAACUGACGCUGAGGAGCAAAAGCAUGGGGAGCGAACAGG